CCUACGGGAGGCAGCAGUGGGGAAUAUUGGACAAUGGGCGCAAGCCUGAUCCAGCCAUACCGCGUGGGUGAAGAAGGCCUUCGGGUUGUAAAGCCCUUUUGUUGGGAAAGAAAUCCAGCCGGCUAAUACCUGGUUGGGAUGACGGUACCCAAAGAAUAAGCACCGGCUAACUUCGUGCCAGCAGCCGCGGUAAUACGAAGGGUGCAAGCGUUACUCGGAAUUACUGGGCGUAAAGCGUGCGUAGGUGGUCGUUUAAGUCCGUUGUGAAAGCCCUGGGCUCAACCUGGGAACUGCAGUGGAUACUGGGCGACUAGAGUGUGGUAGAGGGUAGCGGAAUUCCUGGUGUAGCAGUGAAAUGCGUAGAGAUCAGGAGGAACAUCCAUGGCGAAGGCAGCUACCUGGACCAACACUGACACUGAGGCACGAAAGCNUGGGGAGCAAACAGGAUUAGAUACCCUGGUAGUCCACGCCCUAAACGAUGCGAACUGNAUGUUGGNUGCAANUUGCCACGCAGUAUCGAAGCUCACGCGUUAAGUUCGCCGCCUGGGGAGUACCGUCGCAAGACUGAAACUCAAAGGAAUUGACGG
Molecule: ribosomal RNA, 587 nt
Filed under: uncultured bacterium
Lineage: Bacteria
Description: bacterial SSU rRNA
Rfam family: Bacterial small subunit ribosomal RNA
Source: RNAcentral